UAUUGCACAAUGGGGGGAACCCUGAUACAGCGACGCCGCGCGAGUGAAGACGGCCUUCGGGUUGUAAAGCUCUGUCAACCGGGACGAAGAAGAUGACGGUACCGAUGAAGGAAGCUCCGGCUAACUGCGUGCCAGCAGCCGCGGUAAUACGUAGGGAGCAAGCGUUGUCCGGAAUUACUGGGUGUAAAGGGAGCGUAGGCGGGAAUGCAAGUUGGAAGUGAAAGGUAUGGGCUCAACCCAUGAACUGUUUUCAAAACUGUAUUUCUUGAGUGAAGUAGAGGCAGGCGGAACUCCUAGUGUAGCGGUGAAAUGCGUAGAUAUUAGGAGGAACACCAGUGGCGAAGGCGGCCUGCUGGGCUUUAACUGACGCUGAGGCUCGAAAGCGUGGGUAGCAAACAGG
This 400-nucleotide ribosomal RNA is filed under the name uncultured bacterium. RNAcentral's name for it is "bacterial SSU rRNA". It matches the Rfam family "Bacterial small subunit ribosomal RNA", at positions 362 to 776 of the family's 1533-position model. The record is from RNAcentral.